GACGAACGCUGGCGGCGUGCCUAACACAUGCAAGUCGAACGGGACCAGGGGCAACUCUGGUUCAGUGGCGGACGGGUGCGUAACACGUGCGGAACAUGACCUUCGGCGGGGGAGUAGCCGGCCCAACCGGCCGGGUAACGUACCGCGUACGACCGUCUAGGGACGAUCCCUCGGAUGGUGAAAGACAGCAAUGCGCCGAUGGAGUGCCUCGCGGCCUAUCAGCUAGUUGGUGAGGUAACGGCUCACCAAGGCGACGACGGGUAGCUGGUCUGAGAGGAUGGCCAGCCACAUUGGGACUGAGACACGGCCCAGACUCCUACGGGAGGCAGCAGUGGGGAAUAUUGCGCAAUGGACGAAAGUCUGACGCAGCGACGCCGCGUGUGGGAUGACGGUC
This 394-nucleotide ribosomal RNA is filed under the name uncultured bacterium. RNAcentral's name for it is "bacterial SSU rRNA". It matches the Rfam family "Bacterial small subunit ribosomal RNA", at positions 28 to 416 of the family's 1533-position model. The record is from RNAcentral.